RNAcentral lists this ribosomal RNA (1387 nucleotides) under uncultured bacterium. RNAcentral's name for it is "bacterial SSU rRNA". It matches the Rfam family "Bacterial small subunit ribosomal RNA". The record is from RNAcentral.
AGAGUUUGAUCCUGGCUCAGGACGAACGCUGGCGGCGUGCUUAACACAUGCAAGUCGAACGAAGCUUGAUUACGGAUUCUUCGGAUGAAGUAUGAUAUGACUGAGUGGCGGACGGGUGAGUAACGCGUGAGUAACCUGCCCUUCAGAGGGGGAUAGCGUUUGGAAACGAACGGUAAUACCGCAUAAUGUAUUUUGACCGCAUGAUCGAAAUACCAAAGAUUUAUCGCUGAAGGAUGGACUCGCGUCUGAUUAGGUAGUUGGUGGGGUAACGGCCUACCAAGCCGACGAUCAGUAGCCGGACUGAGAGGUUGAUCGGCCACAUUGGGACUGAGACACGGCCCAGACUCCUACGGGAGGCAGCAGUGGGGAAUAUUGCACAAUGGGCGCAAGCCUGAUGCAGCAACGCCGCGUGAAGGAAGACGGUUUUCGGAUUGUAAACUUCUGUUCUUAGUGAAGAAUAAUGACGGUAGCUAAGGAGCAAGCCACGGCUAACUACGUGCCAGCAGCCGCGGUAAUACGUAGGUGGCAAGCGUUGUCCGGGAAUUACUGGGUGUAAAGGGAGCGCAGGCGGGUGAUCAAGUCAGCUGUGAAAACUACGGGCUUAACCCGUAGACUGCAGUUGAAACUGUUCAUCUUGAGUGAAGUAGAGGUUGGCGGAAUUCCGAGUGUAGCGGUGAAAUGCGUAGAUAUUCGGAGGAACACCGGUGGCGAAGGCGGCCAACUGGGCUUUAACUGACGCUGAGGCUCGAAAGUGUGGGGAGCAAACAGGAUUAGAUACCCUGGUAGUCCACACUGUAAACGAUGAUUGCUAGGUGUGGGGGGUCUGACCCCUUCCGUGCCGGAGCUAACGCAAUAAGCAAUCCACCUGGGGAGUACGACCGCAAGGUUGAAACUCAAAGGAAUUGACGGGGACCCGCACAAGCAGUGGAUUAUGUGGUUUAAUUCGAAGCAACGCGAAGAACCUUACCAGCACUUGACAUCCAACUAACGAAAUAGAGAUAUAUUAGGUGCCCUUCGGGGAAAGUUGAGACAGGUGGUGCAUGGUUGUCGUCAGCUCGUGUCGUGAGAUGUUGGGUUAAGUCCCGCAACGAGCGCAACCCUCGCCAUUAGUUGCUACGCAAGAGCACUCUAAUGGGACCGCUACCGACAAGGUGGAGGAAGGUGGGGACGACGUCAAAUCAUCAUGCCCCUUAUGUGCUGGGCUACACACGUAAUACAAUGGCCAUCAACAGAGAGAAGCAAUACCGCGAGGUGGAGCAAAACUUCAAAAAUGGUCUCAGUUCGGACUGCAGGCUGCAACCCGCCUGCACGAAGUUGGAAUUGCUAGUAAUCGUGGAUCAGCAUGCCACGGUGAAUACGUUCCCGGGUCUUGUACACACCGCCCGUC